CAGCAGCCGCGGUAAUACGUAGGUGGCGAGCGUUGUCCGGAUUUAUUGGGCGUAAAGGGAGUGUAGGCGGUCUUUUAAGUCUGAUGUGAAAGCCCACGGCUCAACCGUGGAGGGUCAUUGGAAACUGGGAGACUUGAGUGCAGAAGAGGAGAGCGGAAUUCCAUGUGUAGCGGUGAAAUGCGUAGAUAUAUGGAGGAACACCAGUGGCGAAGGCGGCUCUCUGGUCUGUAACUGACGCUGAGACUCGAAAGCGUGGGGAGCAAACAGGAUUAGAUACCCCCGUAGUCCCUGUCUCUUAUAC
RNAcentral lists this ribosomal RNA (301 nucleotides) under uncultured bacterium. RNAcentral's name for it is "partial 16S ribosomal RNA". It matches the Rfam family "Bacterial small subunit ribosomal RNA", at positions 509 to 807 of the family's 1533-position model. The record is from RNAcentral.